AGUUAUAUAUAUAUAUAUGCGAUACGUAUACGAAUAAAUCGAAACCGAACUCCUAUUUUGGUGGAAUGGGAAUCGCUCCACUUCGGUUCAAUGCGAUAUUUUGCUUGGGUUUAAACACGAUAGAAAUUAGGUUUUAAACUCUAUUUUUCGUUCACCCAAAACAGAGAACCAACGAGAGAGAGAGAGAGCACGUAUACGGCGUAUACGGUACCGAAAACUUUCGUUUCUUCAAGCGGAGUGAAACCUGGGUGAACGUGGGGGUUUGGGAUCACUUAUAUACGACCUAAGGAAGCUUUUUAACGUGGUAUAAGGGGCGGAAGUCGUCGUUUUGAGAUUCGCCAUUUUUGAAGCUUCAAAGGUGCGGCUUAGUUACGGACUCAAAUUCGAACGUGUUUAAGCUUGUUCUUGGGUCAAGGGAGGUUAUAUUUGAGUGCAUGGGACCCUAAGGAUUGUUUUUGACGUAAGAAAACGAAGCUUUAACGUCCAAAACGAAAAUCCAAAAUUUUGACUCCAUUAAAGGCGGUACACCGCCAACGAAGAAGACAACCCCGAUCUGCCUUCUCGGACCACUUUUCUUGAUUGUUUUGAGGUCCUGAGCAUUGUGGAGAGCUUCCCCAAUCGAAAGGACGCUUCAAGAGCCAUCGGAGACAAAGUUACACUUUACCGGCGACGAAACCGACGAGAACGCCGGCGACCGCGUUCUGACCGUUUCUGAGGAUCUUGUUCUCAACAAGGAAAUUCGUUGAGGUGCUCGAGGUAGCAAGUGUGGUCUUAGCAACUGAGGUAAGGGUAAGGCUAAGCAGUGAGAAUGAAGAGCUCGAGGCGUGGACCGCAUGUUAGGGGGCUGGCACAGUAUUUUGCUUUUAAUGUUUUUAACUGCUAAACAUUUUGGAACUAUUAUUUUGACUUAACUAGUUCUUAUUUAAGUUUACAGUACUAAAAGUAUUUUGUUUUAAACAAUGAGAUCUCAUGCUUGGAUAUUUUUCAAUAAAGCAGUAUUUGAUUGUCUUUAUCUUAUUAAAUUAUUUUA
Cannabis sativa is the source of this 1030-nucleotide long non-coding RNA. RefSeq lists it as uncharacterized. The record is from RefSeq and is a predicted model, not a curated record. NCBI's taxonomy places the organism in Eukaryota, Viridiplantae, Streptophyta, Magnoliopsida, Rosales, Cannabaceae. The transcript has 2 exons.